AAGAAAUGUGUUUGUAUGAUUAUGAACACACGUGAUUGAGGUCACGUGUGCAAACUGCUCAGCGCAAGGAACGAGUAGCCUGCAGGGUUUGAUUCAUGAACAGCAGUAGUAUCACCCCCCAAGAACAGUAACCAUGCGCGUGUUGUAUCAUUUUCUGAAUGUUUCUCUCCAAUACAGCAGAUCCUCAAGGCAGAGCAUAAAGAUGCCUAAGUGGUCGAUGUCAUUGUUUGCAAAGGGCAAGAGAGAGCCACUGAAGGUGCUGGAGGAAGGCAGGAUGUCAACAGAAGGAAAGGGAAGGGGUUUAAAGAAGACUGGCUUGGACACACCCUUCCCCCUCUACUCCUUAAGACCCAAACAAAUGGUGGGGGCACUGGUUUUCUCCUCUCCAGCACCCCCAGGGGCCCAUCGUUGUGUCUGCCAGAUGUUUGCUGAAGGAACGCACGAAGAGGGGGUGCCUGGGUGGCUCAGUCGGUUAGACGUCUGACUCUCGGUUUCCGCUCAGGUCGUGAUCUCACGGUUUCUGAGUUUGCGUCCCUGUUGGGCUCUGUGCUGGCAGUGUGGAGACUGCUUGGGAUUCUCUCUCUCCCUCUUUCUCUCUGCCCCUCCCCCCCCCCAGUGCUGUCUCCGUCACUCUCAAAAUAAGUAAAUAAAAU
RNAcentral lists this long non-coding RNA (653 nucleotides) under Lynx canadensis (Canada lynx). RNAcentral describes it as "lncRNA (ENSLCNG00005017603.1)". The record is from RNAcentral. Lineage: Eukaryota; Metazoa; Chordata; Mammalia; Carnivora; Felidae.